GAUGAUUCAAGAGGCCUAUGUGUGGAGCAGGUCCACAAACAUUACUGGAUUUAUUUAUUUCAUAUUAAAAACGAUAUGCACGAUCACUUAUAGGAAACAGAUGAAACAAGAUAAACCACAGUGCACCAAAUGACUGAUGACACACUAAUAACGUGGGCGUGUAGGACCAUUUGUGGGGACAGAGUUAUGUAACAGAUGACCCACAUGACCUGUUUGUCUUUUCAGGUCUCUGUGCCAAAGCUCUGGAUCAGCUGUGUUGCUCUCAGAAAUGAUCAGAUGAAGCAAUGUAGGUGAAAGAGGGAGCCAGUGCUGGUAAGAAACAUAAACCAGUCAGCAACAUAUCCACCUUACUGGAUAUACAUCACAGUAAUAUGUAAAAUGCAGUAACAAAAUCAAGUUUACAUCACCAGAAGUCAUGUAUAAUAGCCGGACAACCCGUUGUACAAAUCAGUUUUCUAGCAUAAUUUAUGUAGGCUGAACAGGACCACGAAUAGAUCCCUGGGGAGCUACUUACACAUGUGUAGGAGAAACAAUGGUAGCUAUGAAACUCACUCCGGUCUGGGCUACUGUAGAAACAUGGCGGUGCAACAUGAUGGACUCCAUAGAAGAUGGCCCGUGGCGUCUGUGGCUAAAAAUGGCUACUUCUAAGACACUUGGAGACUUCUUCUCAGAGAGCUUUUGAGGCAACAGGUUGGUGUAAGAGUGAUCGUCUUCUUCUAUGUCGGCCAAAGUCCUGAUGCCAGAACUGCUUCCUAUAAGUCAUCUCCUCAGGAUGCUCUCUGCAGAAAUGGGCUGAAUGACCACAACUCAGGGUCUGUGCACAAAUGCCUGCACAUGUCUGUGUGUAAAUAAAUGUGUGUGUAUGAAA
Dicentrarchus labrax (European seabass) is the source of this 868-nucleotide long non-coding RNA. RefSeq lists it as uncharacterized. The transcript has 3 exons. Lineage: Eukaryota; Metazoa; Chordata; Actinopteri; Moronidae. The record is from RefSeq and is a predicted model, not a curated record.